This 252-nucleotide long non-coding RNA is filed under the name Nicotiana benthamiana. RNAcentral's name for it is "long non-coding RNA (NBEN_LNC033392)". The record is from RNAcentral. Lineage: Eukaryota; Viridiplantae; Streptophyta; Magnoliopsida; Solanales; Solanaceae.
UGAAAUCAAUCUACCAUCCCAAAAUAGACCCCCGUUGUAAAACUCCCCAUGUAACAAAUUUCUAAUGAAAUGGACGUUUACGUAUGCUCGACCUUUUACCUAGAAAGUUACUAUCUUACCUAGAAAGUUACUAUCUCUCUUUCCAUGUUUACUACCUAAAAAUUGUAUGUCAUGACACAAACUCUAGUUAGGAGCAAUUGAUUUUAAGGUUGCUGCAUUGGUUAAACUCAAGUUCAGGUCGCUUUUGUCAUG